GGGGAAUAUUGCGCAAUGGGGGAAACCCUGACGCAGCAACGCCGCGUGAGCGAAGAAGGCCUUCGGGUCGUAAAGCUCUGUCAUUGGGGAAGAAAAAAAUGACGGUACCCAAUGAGGAAGCCCCGGCUAACUACGUGCCAGCAGCCGCGGUAAUACGUAGGGGGCAAGCGUUGUCCGGAAUUACUGGGCGUAAAGGGUGCGUAGGCGGCCUGAUAAGUCAGAUGUGAAAUACCGAGGCUCAACCUCGGAGGUGCAUUUGAAACUGUUAGGCUUGAGUGCAGGAGAGGAAAGUGGAAUUCCUAGUGUAGCGGUGAAAUGCGUAGAGAUUAGGAGGAACACCAGUGGCGAAGGCGACUUUCUGGACUGUAACUGACGCUGAGGCACGAAAGCGUGGGGAGCAAAC
RNAcentral lists this ribosomal RNA (403 nucleotides) under uncultured bacterium. Its description in RNAcentral is "bacterial SSU rRNA". It matches the Rfam family "Bacterial small subunit ribosomal RNA", at positions 356 to 773 of the family's 1533-position model. The record is from RNAcentral.